Molecule: transfer RNA, 73 nt
Filed under: archaeon
Lineage: Archaea
Also listed under: 1 other name
Description: tRNA-Tyr
Rfam family: tRNA
About the family: Transfer RNA (tRNA) molecules are approximately 80 nucleotides in length.
Source: RNAcentral
CCCUCCCUAGCUCAGCGGCUAGAGCGUUCGGCUGUAGACCGAAAGGUCCCCGGUUCGAAUCUGGGGGGAGGGA